Molecule: non-coding RNA, 27 nt
Filed under: Rattus norvegicus (Norway rat)
Lineage: Eukaryota; Metazoa; Chordata; Mammalia; Rodentia; Muridae
Source: RNAcentral
UGACAGAAACUCGUUCUCUAGAGAGAA